GACGAACGCUGGCGGCGUGCUUAACACAUGCAAGUCGAACGGAAAGACCCUGCUUUUGUGGGGUGCUCGAGUGGCGAACGGGUGAGUAACACGUGUGUAACAUGCCCUUGUCUUUGGGAUAACUUCAGGAAACUGGGGCUAAUACCGGAUAGGAUCUCCUGCUGCAUGGUGGGGGUUGGAAAGUUUCGGCGGUUGUGGCUGGACUCGCGGCUUAUCCGCUAGUUUGUGGGGUAGUGGCUUACCAAGGCUUUGACGGGUAGCCGGCCUGAGAGGGUGACCAGCCACAUUGGGACUGAGAUACGGACCAGAAUGCAACGGGAGGCAGCAGUGGGGAACAUUGCACAAUGAGCGGAAGCCUGAUGCAGCAACGCCGGGAGCGGGAAGACGGGCUUCGGGUGGUAAACAGCUUUCGACUGAGACGAAGAGUGAGUGACGGUAAUGGGUAAAGAAGCAACGGCUAACUACGUG
Molecule: ribosomal RNA, 468 nt
Filed under: uncultured bacterium
Lineage: Bacteria
Description: partial 16S ribosomal RNA
Rfam family: Bacterial small subunit ribosomal RNA
Source: RNAcentral